AGCGAACGCUGGCGGCAGGCUUAACACAUGCAAGUCGAACGAACCCUUCGGGGUUAGUGGCGGACGGGUGAGUAACACGUGGGAACGUGCCUUUUGGUUCGGAACAACACAGGGAAACUUGUGCUAAUACCGGAUGUGCCCUUCGGGGAAAGGAUUAUCGCCAUUAGAGCGGCCCGCCGUCUGAUUAGCUUGUUGGUGAGGUAAAGGCUCACCAAGGCUACGAUCAGUAGCUGGUCUGAGAGGAUGAUCAGCCAC
Molecule: ribosomal RNA, 255 nt
Filed under: uncultured bacterium
Lineage: Bacteria
Description: partial 16S ribosomal RNA
Rfam family: Bacterial small subunit ribosomal RNA
Source: RNAcentral